UAAAUUAGAAUAAAAAAGUAACAUUUUUUCUUUGAUGACUCAAUUAUUUAUUUAAUAUUAACAAUAUUACCUCCAUAUCCAACUUAUGAAUCACAAAUUUGAGUGAACUUAUGAAUGAUUCAAAUUUGAGUCAACUUAUAAAUCAAAGGUCCAAGACAUUUUAAUCACCUUGAAAUGGUGGAAGCACUUAAAUAUUGAUCUCCUAAGGAGAGUUAAGGGCUUAUAAGGAUACUAGAUAGCCUUUGCUCGUGCUAAGUACGGGCAUUAACCCAACAUCGUUGUAUAAGAAAGGUCUGAUACUGCGAAAGAAAACUUCAAACUAGUCUAAUUGCUAAGAAAAUUUUUUCAAAAGAAAGGAUCGUAUGAUCAAGGUGAAUAAAUAUUACAUAAUAUACUUCACACCAUUUAUCUUUAUUUUCAAAAAAAAUGUCGUUCUACAUCCUUGAGCUUGUAAAUAUAAGAGAUAAAGUAGUCUGAUUUUUCAUGUUCUUGUUGGUGUCACCAUGCCACAAUUGGACAAAAUUUGAGUCUUAAUAAUUGGAAUUGAUAGUACGUACUGAAACAAAAAAUUUCAAGCAUCAGAAUCAAAAAUAAACAUACCAAACUAAAAUUUGGAUGAUAAAUGCUUAAGUAAAAGAGAGGGUUAGCCUUUUAUUAUAGAAAGGGUGACAAUCUCAAGGAAUUUGUUCUUUAUUCACGUAAUUAAUUUAUGCAAUCAAUGUGAUGAUGACCUAUAUUUAUCAGCUACUAUUACCACAUUAUUUUGCCUCUAUUAUGGAUACUUAAAGUUUUAAAACACAAUGUAACUAAUAACAGAACAUGAAAGUAUAUUUUAAUACAAAUUCUGUCAUGAAAAAAGUGUGAAGAAUAAAACUUACUCAUCACUACAGCCCUCACAUUGAACCAUGAAGUUAUCAAGCUUGUAUAUCAUUGGAGAUCUUAAACCUUUAUCACUAUGCAUGCAUAUGCAGUAUCUAUAUAAUUAGGACAAAAAACUGAUAAACAAAAAAUAAUAAUCUACUGAUAUUUGUUGAUUUUAUAUCAUUUAUCAUUAUUUUUGUUUUACAGGAAUAAUAUCCACAGGUAAGAGUGAUGCGGUUGACAUCUGUAUAAAAUUUGACAAGGCAAUGAGGGGACAAGGCGAAGGUGGUAAAAGUUUGAACUAAGUCUUAGUUUUCUUACUCACCCAUCAACUUAAUUUCUAGGUAGUUGUUUACUGAUAGUAUGUACUUAUUUCUCAUUUAUCACUUUCAUUCCCUACUUAUAUAUAUAUAUAUAUAUAUAUAUAUAUAUUCAUGUCAAAUAUUCAUUGCAGGCUCGCAAUCAACAAUAUGACAAUACAUGGCGUUAGUAAUUUUUCAAAUUUUCUCUAACAUGUGGAGGAUGAAAAUGCCUUGGAGUGCGCAUGAGAAAUUAAUACAUAAUCCAAUUAAUAUAAUUUUUUAAUCUAGUACCUCUAUACAAAAUUCUUUACCUAGUGAUUAUAAUCGGAUCGUAAAAGAAAAUAGAAGGCACCGGCCAUUAGCCGAAAUAGAAAUACAAACUAUAAAAUAGAAAUGUAACAUAGAAAAUCUAUUAGCAAUAAAUAUGCAUACCGUUUUUAUACACAAAUCAAGGAUCUUGCAAAAACCAAGAAGUAGACAUCCAUAAAUUUAAAAAUUCAGACCUCUCCCUUUCUAACUAAAGUGGUUGAACAUUACAAUUGAAGAAAAGUUUAAAAGUUUGACCAUCUCUUACACUAUUGAAGAGGCUUUUGGAUUUCAAAUCCUUCUUCACCAAGAAAAGAAUAAAAGUUUAGAAGUUCAAUUCUCUUAAACUAUUGAAGAGACUUUUGGAUCUCAAAUGCUUCUUCAUCAAGAACAGAAUGCAUGGCACCAUGCACAAUAGUAUGCAAAGAACUUAAGAAUGUUUGGUGUCAACCAAAGUAAACAUCAACUUAUUUAUUGAAUUGCAAAAAGAAGUAAUCCACAUAUGCAAAUAUAUUUGUUGUCACCUCACAGUAAACAAAGAAUCAUACUCUAAUACCACAAAGCUAGUCGUUUACAACUUUGUAGUAGUGAAAUUACGUAGUUGAAAACAAUGAAAUAGAAUUCACUUCAUUUAUCACCAAAGUAGAUGUGCUUCCGUUGUCCGUUCUUUGAACUAUUUCAAUCAUAUUUGAUUCUUUGUUCACCACAUAAAUACAUAAAUAGUACUUCAAAAAUAAUUUUAUUAAUUAAAAACAUGUUUCACAUUCUCUUUCCCAACAAACAUAGAAUUUAAGAAAAUAAUGUCCAAUGUCUACUCUUCAUUUUGAGCUCACCUUAGUUUAUCAGCAUUAUUUUCCUUACUACAAGCUCAAUUAUUUCUUGUUUUUAGUAAACUCUUCAAAAUUAGAACAAAAUGCAUCACUUCUGAUUUUUAGGAAAAGCUAAAAUAACUCCCUUUUCUCAUCUACUUCAAUUUAUCUAGAAAAUAAGUUAAUAGGUAAUAAAAAUAAUUGACUAGGCAUAAGUUUAUUACUGGUCUUUGCGAUUUUGAUUAGCUGUGUUGAAGAACUUAGAAGAAGAGGAAAAAUCUCUGAGAAAGUACCUCACUACAGUACUCUCAGAUCUCGUCACGACCUCCCAAUGAUCGUUGUUUUAAAAGAAAUCUAGACAUUUGAGACCAAAUUUUCAAAAGAGAUGAUGCAUAAGCAGAAUUGAAUAAGAAAAGAUCCAAAAGCACAAGGGAAAACAUAAAAUUAGGAAAAAAUUAUGUACCUCCCUUUCUAUUCUAAUUGUAAUUUUUCAAACUCAUAGCAAAAUUUCACCAUUGUUUCUCAUAAAGAGCCGAGUUACACCACUUUCCUGCAUAUAUCUGAUCUUCUAACCCUGAAAGGUCAGACAAAAAAAAAGUCUUAGGAAGAUUGAAAAAAGAAAGUUUCUUUGAAAGUGGCAAAUCUAUUAACACUCAAUAAUAAUUUCAAUCUCAUAUUCUUAUGGCUUAUGAGAUUAUAUGCCAUCUUUUCAAAUUAUAUUUACGCUCAGUAAUUAUAUGUGGUUAGUAUACAAAUGCCUCAUUGCUCUUUUCCCUAAUAUGUGUUUUCUAGUUUCCUGAAUGAUAAAUAUUUUAUCCUGCUAAAAAUGAUGUUGAGUUUGACAAAAAUCUCAUUUAGAUAACGCAGUACAGUGAAAAGGGGAUAAAAAAGAAACAUUAUCAAAGCGAGUCAACAUGUUGAAACGAAAAGCUAUAUCAUAGAGCAGUUAUCUGAAGAGAAGAAGUAAAACACUUUAUCAAAAUCUUUUAGACAUAUAAUUAGAUAUCCUAUGCGCAUCAAAUUAAUUUGGUAACACAAAUCAAGUACCAAAAUGAUAUGAUGUAUACUAUGAAAAUAUUAUUCAAAACACAGAUCAGUCAACUUUAGGGUUUAAUUCAUUUCAAUUUAAUUAUUGAAUAGGAAAAAAGAAAAAAACAUAUCAGCUUCAUAUUUAAAUAUUCAAUUGGCUGAACCUAGUGAUUUAUUGCAAAAAAUCUUAUAUAUAAACAAGAAAUUAUCAUAAAUUAAUAAACCUACAGAUACUACCUCUCAUUAUCAAUAAUUGGGGACGAAGAAAGAAUAGAGUAGAACUUAUCAAAACUAAAAAUACAGCCACGUAUGAUUGAAGAAUUAAAAUUAGGAUAGAGAAACAACAAACUACAAAGAAUGAUAGAGAGAAAAAUAGUUCUUUAACUAAAAAUUUUGAAUAUGAAGAAUUAGUGUAGGAUUAGAUAAGUUCAUUCUUUACCUCUUAAGUAAGAGUCACCCAAUACAUACUAUCGAUUAUUUUUCACUGUUAGAGCCAUUUUAUGCUUCUUUCUAUUGAGCUCACAAAGAAAAUCCAAUAUGAAAGUGGCCACUUUUCAAUUAUUUGGUCCAUCAGCUGAAAAUUUUCAAAUAUUGCAUUUCAAAACUCAAAGUCAAUAUCUUAAAAAUUUUAAUGGAAACAACAAGAAAGAGAAAUUACCAACAUGCAAUAGUUGAAGAAUCAAAAUAAUAAAGACACAGUUGACCAAGAAAAAAUAGAUACAUUGAUAUGAAUGGAAGAAUUAGAAACAACGAAGCAAUACCGAAUUCUGAAUCAAAAUAUAUCAUAACAAAAUAACACCUUGAGGGUAAAUGAUGAUUUUAAAUUUGCGAGAGAGAACAGAAGACUACAUUUACAGGUACAAAACAUUGUAGAUAGACUUUCAUAAGUGAUCUCAAAAUAUAGUCAACACAAGCAACACAGAGAACAACUCAGUCAAAAUUAGGAAAGACCAAAUACAAUAUAUUUCUCGAAUUGAAAUACAUAUAUAGAUAUAAAUCAUAGAAAAUAUAAAGAAGAUCCAAAAGUCAUCAAUGAAAUUCAUCAAAAACAAGAAAACAAAAGAGAAAGUAAAGGAACUCACCGGAGAGCUAAGCAAAUGGAUGAAAGAAGUGAAGUGAAGCAAAGGAAUGGUAAGCAGGAAAAAUGAAAGAGCUAUCAUCUGGAAAAUACAAGAGCCACAUGGAUAUGUGUUGCAUCAAUAUUAUUGGUGUAAUUUUAACCUACUGUAAUUAUAAAUAUAGCCUUCCUGCUCAUACCUUAUUCUCUAACCCUGAAAGGUUAAAUUAGAUGAAAAAAAGAAGCCUUAGAAAGAUUGAAAAAAAAAAACUUACUUUGAAAGUGACAGAUGUAUUAACACUCAAUUAUAAUGUCACUCUCAUAUUUUUGUGGCUUAUGAGUUUAUAUGCUAUCUCUUUAAAUUAUAUUUAUCCUUAAUAAUAAUAUGUAGUUAGCAUACAAAUGUUUCAUUAUUUUCCCCUAUGUGUUUUCUAGUUUCCUGAAUGUUAAAUAUUUUUUCUUGCUAAAAGUGAUGCUGCGUUCGACAAAAACCUCUUUUACGUAACGCAGUACAGUGAAAGGGGUAUAAAAAAGAAACACUAUCAAAGCGAGUCAGCAAGUUGAAACGCAAAAGCUAUAUCUUAGAGUAGUUAUCAGAAGAGAAAAUCAUUAUUCAAAUCUUUUAGGCAUAUAAUAUCUUGUAUGCGUUAAAUUAAUUGGGUAACAUAAUUCACCAAGUAUCAAAAAAUGAUAUAACGUCUACUAUGAAAAUAUUAUACAGAACACAGGUCAGUCAACUUCAGGGUAUAAUCCAUCUCAAUUUUAAUUAUUGAACGGAAAAAAAAAAAGAAAAACAAUAUCAACUUCAUAUUUAAAUAUUCAAUAUGAUGAAACUAGUGAUCUACAUUCAAACAUGCAAAAAUCUUAUAUACUAAAUAUAAAUUAUCAUAAAUUAAUAAACCUACAGAUACCACCUCUCAUUAUCAAAACAACUAGGGACAAAGAAAGAAUAGAGUAAAAUUUAUUAAAACUAAAAAUAUAGCCAUAUACGAAUAACAAAUUGAAAUAAGGAUAGAGAAACAACAAAUUACAGAUAAUGACAAAGAGAAAAAUAAUUCCUUAAUUAAAAAUUAUGAAUAUGAAGAAUUAGCAUAGGAUCAGAUAAGUUUAUUUUUAGCUCUUAGGUAUGAGCCACCCAAUACGUACUAUCAACAAUAUUUGAUUGUUGGAGCCAUUUUCUCCUUCUUUCUAUUGAGCUCACAAAGAAAAUUCAAUAUGAAAGUGGCCACCUUUCAAUUGUUUGGUCUAUCUAGCUGAAAAUUCUCAAACUUUCCAUUUCAGAAUCCAACGUCAAAAUCUUAAAAUUCUUAAUGAAAAUAACAAGAAAGCGAAUUUACCAACAUGCAAUAGUUGGAGAAUCAAAAAAUUAAUGUCACAAAUGACUAAGAACAAAUAGAGACACUGAUAUGAAUUAAAAAAAUUAGAAACAAUGAAGAAAUAUCGAAUUUAGAAUCAAAAUCUAUCAUAAUAAAAAUAAGAACAAUAAUUCUAAAUCAGCGAGAAAGAACAGAAGACUAAACUUGCAGGUGCAAAGAAUUAUAAAUGGACUUUCAUAAGUGAUUUAAAAAUAUAGUCAACACAUGCAACACAAAAAACAACCUAGUCAAAAUCAGGAAAGACCAAAUCCUAAAUGUUACUCAAAUUGAAACACAUAUAUGGCUACAAAAUAGAGAAAACACAAAGAAGAUCCAAAACUUAUCAGUAAGAUCCAUCAAAAACAAGCAAAAAUAAAAGAGAAAGUAGAAGAACUCACUUGAGAGUUAAGCAGAUGGAUAGAAAAAAUGAAGUGAAGCAAACGAAUGGUAAGUAGGAAAAAUGAAAGAGCC
Molecule: long non-coding RNA, 6190 nt
Filed under: Capsicum annuum
Lineage: Eukaryota; Viridiplantae; Streptophyta; Magnoliopsida; Solanales; Solanaceae
Description: long non-coding RNA (CANN_LNC014259)
Source: RNAcentral